This 387-nucleotide ribosomal RNA is filed under the name uncultured bacterium. RNAcentral's name for it is "bacterial SSU rRNA". It matches the Rfam family "Archaeal small subunit ribosomal RNA", at positions 339 to 727 of the family's 1478-position model. The record is from RNAcentral.
GCGCGAAGUCUCUUCAAUGCACGACAGUGUGAAAGGGGAAUCCUACGUGCUUAUGCUUAGCAUAAGCUUUUGCAUAGUGUAAGUAACUAUGCGAAUAAGGGAUGGGAAAGACCGGUGCCAGCAGCCGCGGUAACCCCGGCGUCCCGAGUGGUAAUCAGUAUUAUUGGGUCUAAAGCAUUCGUAGCCGGACUUUUAAAUUUCUUGUGAAAUCGCUCAGCUUAACUGAGUGGCGUGCAGGAAAGACUGGAAGUCUAGGAACUGGGAGGAGUUAGAGGUAUUCUGGGGGGAGCGGUAAAAUGUGAUAAUCCCCGGAGGACCACCUGUGGCGAAGGCGUCUAACUAGAACAGAUUCGACGGUGAGGAAUGAAGGCUAGGGGAGCAAAACGG